RNAcentral lists this ribosomal RNA (253 nucleotides) under uncultured bacterium. Its description in RNAcentral is "partial 16S ribosomal RNA". It matches the Rfam family "Bacterial small subunit ribosomal RNA", at positions 524 to 776 of the family's 1533-position model. The record is from RNAcentral.
UACGGAGGGUGCGAGCGUUAAUCGGAAUUACUGGGCGUAAAGCGUACGCAGGCGGUUAGUUAAGUCAGAUGUGAAAGCCCCGGGCUCAACCUGGGAACUGCAUUUCGAACUGGCAAACUAGAGUAUGAUAGAGGGUGGUAGAAUUUCAGGUGUAGCGGUGAAAUGCGUAGAGAUCUGAAGGAAUACCGAUGGCGAAGGCAGCCACCUGGGUCAAUACUGACGCUCAUGUACGAAAGCGUGGGUAGCGAAAGGG